CAGUAGCCGCGGUAACACGGAGGGUGCAAGCGUUUAUCGGAAUUACUGGGCGUAAAGCGUGCGUAGGCGGUUUGUUAAGUCUGCUGUGAAAUCCCCGGGCUCAACCUGGGAAUGGCAGUGGAUACUGGCAAGCUAGAGUGUGUCAAAGGAUGGUGGAAUUCCCGGUGUAGCGGUGAAAUGCGAAGAGAUCUGGAGGAAUACCGGUGGCGAAGGCGGCCCCCUGGACAAAGACUGACGCUCAGGUGCGAAAGCGUGGGGAGCAAACAGGAUUAGAUACCCGCGUAGUCCCUGUCUCUUAUAC
RNAcentral lists this ribosomal RNA (301 nucleotides) under uncultured bacterium. RNAcentral describes it as "partial 16S ribosomal RNA". It matches the Rfam family "Bacterial small subunit ribosomal RNA", at positions 509 to 807 of the family's 1533-position model. The record is from RNAcentral.